Molecule: long non-coding RNA, 1051 nt
Organism: Motacilla alba alba
Lineage: Eukaryota; Metazoa; Chordata; Aves; Passeriformes; Motacillidae
Exons: 3
Source: RefSeq, a predicted model, not a curated record
GGCUGUCAGCAGCCAACUCAGGUACAGAGGGGACAAGAUGAUGCUGGUGGAGUUUUUCCAAGCCAUCCUGAACCAGCAUCCUCAUCCCACUGGGAAACAGCAAACUGCUUUUCAGCACAGACCCUGAACGAUCCUCCUCACCUUCUGCCUGGCUCAUUUACUGCAAUUAAAUGCUUGUAAACAGAUUAUACCCUGAAAGCUACAUUUUCCUGCUCGUUUCAUGUGGAGAUGGAUUCAAAACCUGCUCUGCUGCCCGGAUGGGCACUACAAUGAGUGCUGAAGGACAUGGUCUGUCAGUCCAGUCACCCUAAACCAACGCAGGGUGCCACUGUGACACCCUGCCCUGGCUUUAUUGAGAAGAACACCACCUCCCUUCCAGAGGAAAACCUAACCCAGGGAGCACUGGGGAUGCUAAUCCCUCGGUCACUGCAAGUUCAGCAGAUCAAGUUGCAGCACAAACCUGGAAAAGCCCCCAGGGAUCUGUCUCACUGCCUGGACCUUUAGCAGGAAAUGUGCCAACCAACGGGAGUGGACUUUUUUGUUGUCUGUAAUCAAGUAAAUCUCCCCAAAAUGAGUAAAAUUUACUUGCAGCUUCACAGAAUUGUGGAAAGAAUUUUAGAGCCGUGUACAGUUACAAUAAAUCACAGCAAGAUUUGACAUCAAACAGGAGGGAGCCUGGUACCCCCCAUAAUGGGAAACGACCUGGGGGUGGAAAUUACCCUUCCCCUCCACAUGGCAGCCACUUGUAACCAUUGUCCCUUGCCUGAGGACCUGUCUAAAACCUGUGCUUUUUCACCCUUGCCAAACAAGACAUCAGCACUCCCUGCAGCUUCUCCUCCUGAUGAAAACACGCUUCUACCUAACCUGGCUGCUUCAGGGCGCAAGCAGGUAACAAAUGGCACAGAAACUGCUGCAGCAUCCUCUCCUGAGACAGAAAGAUGCUUCCUCGGGGGCAGGCACUGUGCAAAAGGGCCUUUUGCAGCCAGAACAUUUGGACAAAGAGCUCACAUUUGACCAUUUGGUGCCCAGCAAGUGCCCACUGGGCAUCUGG